Molecule: long non-coding RNA, 825 nt
Filed under: Nicotiana benthamiana
Lineage: Eukaryota; Viridiplantae; Streptophyta; Magnoliopsida; Solanales; Solanaceae
Description: long non-coding RNA (NBEN_LNC037368)
Source: RNAcentral
UCCCGGACUACCUGUGGGUUAUUGGUCUACUGAUGCAUUGAGCAAGAUGGCUAGUGCUAUGGGCAAUCCCUUGUAUACUGACAAAUUCACAGCUCACUAUGAGAAGAUCUCUUAUGCUCGAGUGCUUGUGGAGGUUGAUGCUGCUCACCCUCUUCCUAACCAGAUUGAACUUGAAACUCCAUUUGGACCUAAGGUUCAACAGAUUGAAUAUGACUGGAAGCCUCUGUUCUGUAAUCACUGUCUGAAAUUUGGUCAUGAUGCUUUGGAUUGCUGGUACAAUACCAAAUCUGAGACUGAGAAGGAAUAAUAUGAAGAGGGACUGGCAAAGAGACAAGAGCCUAGAAGGAAAAGGAAUCCUAAAGCUGCUAAACAAGAAUGGCUUGUUAAGAAGCCUCAAGUUUUUGUUCCUCGGGUUAUGAUCCCAGAGGAAGCUGAACCUAGCAAGGCCAAUGAUGUAGUGGUGCCCAAUACCAAUCAGAUGAUUCCUCCCCAACAGGAAACUCAACAGAACCCAACCAGUCAGGAGAGGAGUCUAGAUGGUGACAUUGAACAACAUUGUAGGAAGAUUGAUGAAUGCACUAAAGGGAAGGCAGUUGUUGAUGUUUUAGAUUCUGGUAGAAAAGGUCAACAGAGUGAUCCGGGGCCCUCUUAUAACCUCAAACCCAAGUUACUAUGAUUAUAGUUACUUGGAAUAUAAGAGGGAUAAACCUAGCCCAUAAGAAGAAAGAACUGAAAAACUUUCUUGCUACUAAUAAAGUAGAUGUUAUGGGAUGUCCGAAACCUAGCCCAUAAGCAGAAAGAACUAAAAACUUUCUUGCUACUAAU